Episyrphus balteatus (marmalade hoverfly) is the source of this 519-nucleotide long non-coding RNA. RefSeq lists it as uncharacterized. The transcript has 3 exons. Lineage: Eukaryota; Metazoa; Arthropoda; Insecta; Diptera; Syrphidae. The record is from RefSeq and is a predicted model, not a curated record.
UUAUUAAUGUUUUGUGACAUUUGGGGGUCGAAAAAGAGGAAGAAUUACUAACAACCAGAAAAAAAAUCUACAUUUGUUAGGCAUCUAUCUCCUCAACCAUCAUAAAUUACCAUUGACAGUAAUCAGAAAACUUAGUCCGGAUUCAUCAUUCCGCGGUAUUUUAUAUCCACAAAUUAAUAUUCAGAUAACUCAUGUAGAUGGAAGGACUAAUUUAAAAUUUGAAUUCUUCAUCUGUCCUCUUCUUACCUCUCUUCGCCCUUUGGCCCAUUCGCAGCUAUAUGGCCUCAACAAGCGAGCGCAGCUAUUGGCUUAAAACCAACCCCCUUUUUGAUAUGGAUCAAAUAGUAUUAUCUUCGUAGGUGGAUUUCGGGACUCUGAAGUGAGUGUAACUUUCUGAGUGCGCGAUAACCAAGUCGAAGUUAGAAGAUACAAGUUUAGUAGCUACGAUUUAAUUAACGCCAGAGGGCUGCAUACAAGAAACAUUAUAACACACAAAAAAAACAAACAGAAAUGGCUUCC